RNAcentral lists this ribosomal RNA (518 nucleotides) under uncultured bacterium. RNAcentral describes it as "bacterial SSU rRNA". It matches the Rfam family "Bacterial small subunit ribosomal RNA", at positions 28 to 529 of the family's 1533-position model. The record is from RNAcentral.
GACGAACGCUGGCGGCGCGCUUAACACAUGCAAGUCGUGCGGUACCGAUGGCAAGUCUUCAUGACGAGCCUUCGGUAUAGCGGCGGACGGGUGAGUAACACGUGAGUAGCUGUCCUAGGGAGGGGGAUAACGCCUGGAAACGGGUGCUAAAACCCCAUAAGCCUCGCAAGAGGUGAAAGUGUACUUGUUACAGCCUUAGGGUGUGCUCGCGGCCUAUCAGCUAGUUGGUGAGGUAAGGGCUCACCAAGGCUAAGACGGGUAGCCGGCCUGAGAGGGUGUACGGCCACACUGGAACUGAGACACGGUCCAGACUCCUACGGGAGGCAGCAGUGGGGAAUUUUGGACAAUGGGCGCAAGCCUGAUCCAGCAAUGCCGCGUGCAGGAUGAAGGCCUUCGGGUUGUUAAACUGUCUUUUGUUACGGAACGAAAAGGCUCUAGGUUAAUACCUAGGGGCUCAUGACGGUACCGUAAGAAGUAAGACACCGGCUAACUACGUCGCAGCAGCCGCGGUAAUAGUA